Molecule: long non-coding RNA, 927 nt
Filed under: Mytilus galloprovincialis (Mediterranean mussel)
Lineage: Eukaryota; Metazoa; Mollusca; Bivalvia; Mytilida; Mytilidae
Source: RNAcentral
UUGAAGUCCAAUCGACUUCAAACUUGGUACACAUGUUCCCUAUGAUAUGAUCUUUCUAAUUUUAAUGCCAAAUUAGAGUUUUGACCCCAAUUUUACGGUUCACUGAACAUAGAAAAUGAUAGUGCAAAUUUCAGGUUAAAGUUUUUGGUCAAGGUAGUUUUUGAUGAAGUUGAAGUCCAAUCAACUUGAAACUUAGUAUACAUGUGCCCUAUGAUAUGAUCUUUCUAAUUUAAAUGCCAAAUUAGAGUUUUUGACCCCAAUUUUACGGUUCACUGAACAUAGAAAAUGAUAGUGCAAAUUUCAGGUUAAAGUUUUUGGCUUCAGGUUAAAGUUUUUGGUCAAGGUAGUUUUUGAUGAAGUUGAAGUCCAAUCAACUUGAAACUUAGUAUACAUGUGCCCUAUGAUAUGAUCUUUCUAAUUUAAAUGCCAAAUUAGAGUUUUGACCCCAAUUUUACGGUUCACUGAACAUAGAAAAUGAUAGUGCAAAUUUCAGGUUAAAGUUUUUGCUUCAGGUUAAAGUUUUUGGUUUCAAGGUAGUUUUUGAUGAAGUUGAAGUCCAAUCAACUUGAAACUUAGUAUACAUGUGCCUAUGAUAUGAUCUUUCUAAUUUAAAUGCCAAAUUAGAGUUUUGACCCCAAUUAUACGGUUCACUGAACAUAGAAAAUGAUAGUGCAAAUUCAGGUUAAAGUUUUUGGUCAAGGUAGUUUUUGAUAAAGUAGAAGUCCAAUCAACUUGAAACUUAGUAUACAUGUUCCCUUUGAUAAGAUCAUUCUAAUUUUAAUGCCAAAUUAGAGUUUUGACCCAAUUUUACGGUUCACUGAACAUAGAAAAUGAUAGUGCAAAUUUCAGGUUAAAGUUUUUGGUCAAGGUAGUUUUUGAUAAAGUAGAAGUCCAAUCAACUUGAAACUUAGUUACAUGUUCCCUUUG